Molecule: long non-coding RNA, 284 nt
Organism: Diorhabda carinulata
Lineage: Eukaryota; Metazoa; Arthropoda; Insecta; Coleoptera; Chrysomelidae
Exons: 3
Source: RefSeq, a predicted model, not a curated record
AAAAUUCAGAACAGUAAGAGUGAGAAACAGAGGAAACCCAAGGAUGAUAUGGAUGGACGAAAUCAACAAAUCGAUUGAGAAAGUCUCGAUGAAAAAAGAAAUCAACCCCAGGUCUUACACUCGUAAGGUUUUAGGUUUAGAUGUACAACGAGGGGAUUUCGGAAACUGACUGCAGCAUUAAUAAGCGAAGAGAACAGUAAAAGCAACAAACACAAGUUUUCAAGGUUCUCGUUACUAACCAUCUUCGCCAUUUUUAACAGCUUGAGUACGGACAUGGAUUAUUC